RNAcentral lists this ribosomal RNA (396 nucleotides) under Ceratitis cornuta. Its description in RNAcentral is "partial 12S ribosomal RNA". The record is from RNAcentral. Lineage: Eukaryota; Metazoa; Arthropoda; Insecta; Diptera; Tephritidae.
UAUUAUUUAAAAUGUAAAAAUAAACACUUAGGUAGUAUUAGUUAUGUUCUUGAAACUUAAAAAAUUUGGCGGUAUUUUAGUCUAUUCAGAGGAACCUGUCCUGUAAUUGAUAAUCCACGAUGUACCUCACUUAAAUUUGUUUUCCGUUUAUAUACCGUCGUUAUUAGAAUAUUUUAUGAGAAUAAUAAUUUUCAAUAAUUUAGUUUAUAAUUUAUAUCAGAUCAAGGUGUAGCUUAUGUUUAAGAAGAGAUGGGUUACAAUAAAUUUAUUUAAACGGAUUUAUUAUUUAAAUAUUUUAAUGAAGGUGGAUUUGAUAGUAAAAAUUAAAAGAUUAUAGUUUUGAUUUUAGCUCUAAAAUAUGCACACAUCGCCCGUCACUCUUGCUAUUAAGGUAAG